This 372-nucleotide ribosomal RNA is filed under the name uncultured organism. RNAcentral's name for it is "partial 16S ribosomal RNA". It matches the Rfam family "Bacterial small subunit ribosomal RNA", at positions 527 to 896 of the family's 1533-position model. The record is from RNAcentral.
GAAGGUGGCGAGCGUUGUUCGGAAUUAUUGGGCUUAAAGAGCACGUAGGCGGAUCAGAAAGUGUCUUGUGAAAACCCCCGGCUUAACCGGGGAAUUGCUUGGCAAACUUCUAGAUCUUGAGUCAAGUAGGGGUACAUGGAACUCUUAGUGGAGCGGUGGAAUGCGUAGAUAUUAAGAGGAACGCCAAUGGUGAAGACAGUGUACUGGGCUUGUACUGACGCUGAGGUGCGAAAGCGUGGGGAGCGAACGGGAUUAGAUACCCCGGUAGUCCACGCCGUAAACGAUGUCUACUAGGUUGUGGGAGUUCUGACACCUUCACAGCCGAAGCAAAAGUGUUAAGUAGACCGCCUGGGGAGUACGGUCGCAAGGCUA